Molecule: long non-coding RNA, 1064 nt
Filed under: Heterocephalus glaber (naked mole-rat)
Lineage: Eukaryota; Metazoa; Chordata; Mammalia; Rodentia; Bathyergidae
Description: lncRNA (ENSHGLG00000043008.1)
Source: RNAcentral
GGGGAUGCCAGGGUCUCGGGGCCGGAGCCAGGCAAGACGCGGGGAGGGGAGGGGAGGGCAGCGGAGAGCCAGGCCGGGCCUGCAGGUGGCCGCCACGGGUGGGCAGCGGGUGUGACCCCGGGCGUGCGACCCCUUCUCUCCGACUGCUCGGUGGUCUGGGGGGCGCGGAGCGGCCGGGUGCAGGCGGGGCACAACCGGCCUGGGGCCAUGUAGACGUGGCCCCUGCUGAACUCGAAGCCUCGGCGUCCAGGGCGCGGGGACCUCGCUCCUCGCCCAGCCUUCUCUCUCCAGGAUCAAUAGUAACCUCUUUAAGAGUCCGAGGGCUCAAUGAAUCAACCGCUCCCCAGGGGAGGGGCAGAGCUCCCGCGCGCAUCUUCCAUUUGCAGAACAAUUCAUUCGCCGCGCGGGGUUGAGCGCGAAGCCGCCCUCGGCGGGGUCCCCGGUGGGACGGGCGCGACGGCCCCUCCUCGUCCUCGGGCCCCGGCCGCGCCGCGCUCGCUCCCCUUGGCACCCGCGGCCCGCGGCUCUGGUCCCGUCCGGAGGGUGACAAGUCCGCCGGGACCCGGGCGGGCACUCACCCCCUCGGGGCGCUGCCGCCCGCCGCGCUCACACAGCCCCGGCCGCCCCGCGAGCUCCCUGCCCGCCGCCGCCGCCGCCGCCGCUCCUCAGCCGGCAAGCCUCAGCUCAGAAUCGCUACCGCCACCACACCGCCGAGGUGCGGCCAACAAACUAGUUUCUCCGGCCUUUCCGCCCCGCCUCCCGGCCCGUAGCCUAAGAAGCCAAUCAGUGACGGUGCUGCUAUGACGGAUGGGCUGCCGAACCCGUAGUGGAGCCGCUUGAGAAAGGGAGAUUCCCAGCCUCAAGGAAGCAACAUUAGGAGGUGCACAACUUCCCCUAAACUUCAGACGCAUGCAACUAUUUCACCUUCUAACGUAGCCCACCAAUCGGGUUUCCUGCACCUCCUAGAUGGACCAUCUCCAGCAUGCUCCAAAACCACAUGAAAACCCCCAACUCCUGACAAUGUGACUCUCUGGAGGGCUUGUACCCUAUUUCCUCUGAGUGUG